UGAGUAACACGUGGGCAACCUGCCCUUUGCACUGGGAUAGCCUCGGGAAACCGAGGUUAAUACCGGAUACUCCAUAUUUGUCGCAUGGCGAAUAUGGGAAAAGCUCCGGCGGCAAAGGAUGGGCCCGCGGCCUGUUAGCUAGUUGGUGGGGUAGUGGCCUACCAAGGCAAUGAUGGGUAGCCGGGUUGAGAGACCGACCGGCCAGAUUGGGACUGAGACACGGCCCAGACUCCUACGGGAGGCAGCAGGC
RNAcentral lists this ribosomal RNA (250 nucleotides) under uncultured Atopobium sp. RNAcentral's name for it is "partial 16S ribosomal RNA". It matches the Rfam family "Bacterial small subunit ribosomal RNA", at positions 107 to 354 of the family's 1533-position model. The record is from RNAcentral. Lineage: Bacteria; Bacillati; Actinomycetota; Coriobacteriia; Coriobacteriales; Atopobiaceae.